CCAUGACCCCCUGACCUAGACGCAGAGACCUAGGCCCGCCUCAAGGCCCUGCUAGAGGCUGGAAGUACGACUCUGGGCCCUAAACCUGAGCCAUGUUUUUCAGAACCCAACUGUGCCCAAUCUCACUGUUCAGCCCUGUCCCAAACCUGCCUUCAGCCCUGUCCCAAAGUCAAUUCAAACUUACUUCACCUUUAAUAUUAAGGCCUUGUACCCCAUCCAAACCAAUUCCAUCUAACCCUACUUGACAUAAAAGGACCCCACCAGCAACCCCAUUCCACCCUACCAGAUCCCAGCUCGCCCCGUCUAGUACUUCUCACAAACCUGACACCUUGCUUUGCGAACUGUCACAGUUCUGUUUGAUCCAUUGAAGUAAACGUGUGGUUAUCUGCAUCUAACACAGCAUAGCUGUCACCCACCAUCCGACCACGUUAGAUCACUGAUUACUUCAGGGGAAGGAGGAAGGCAGGAGGUGUUUCAAACAGGAGGAAAGCCAGGAAGAGGGAUGUCCAUGUUUCUAAUGUCAACAUGUGGAUGUUGGUGUGUGCGCGCUUGUGUGUAGCCUACAUGUGCCUGGCUCUUGACUGUUGUAGUGUAGUGGUAGAGCAGGUGUGUGUGCGUGUGUGUGCGUGUGUGUGUGUGUUAUAUGGACCAGGGUGUGUCUAGGUUUUAUGGUAGGUAACACAGGAUUCAAUUAUAUUAAAGCUUUUUGUUAAGUAUCAACACAACACAAAAUGCAAAUGACAGCAAUGUCAAUGUAGUUUUCUCUUCUCUGAGACACAGGCCGUGUCCAAAAUGGCACCCUAUUCCACAGGUCUAUGGGUCCUGAUUUAAAAAGUAGUGCACUAUAUAGGGAAUGUGCUGCCGUUUCGGACGCAGUUUCUGAGCUGCAUUAAUUAUGUAUUUCACCAAGUCAAUUGAGAACCAAUUCUCAUUUAGAUUGACGACCUGGCCGAGAGGCAUAACAGUACAACAGAGAACAGAACAACACACAAUACCACAAACAUGGAGCACACUGUAUACAGAGAACAGAACAACACACAAUACCACAAACAUGGAACACAGGUGCAGUGACGCGGUGGUUUACAGGUGCAGUGACGCGGUGGUUUACAGGUGCAGUGACGCGGUGGUUUACAGGUGCAGUGACGCGGUGGUUUACAGGUGCAGUGACGCGGUGGUUUACAGGUGCAGUGACGCGGUGGUUUACAGGUGCAGUGACGCGGUGGUUUACAGGUGCAGUGACGCGGUGGUUUACAGGUGCAGUGACGCGGUGGUUUACAGGUGCAGUGACGCGGUGGUUUACAGGUGCAGUGACGCGGUGGUUUACAGGUGCAGCCGUAGUAGUACGCGGUGGUUUACAGGUGUAGCCGUAGUAGUACGCGGUGGUUUACUGGGUCAGCCGUAGUAGUACGCGGUGGUUUACUGGGUCAGCCGUAGUAGUACGCGGUGGUUUACUGGGUCAGCCGUAGUAGUACGCGGUGGU
Long non-coding RNA from Oncorhynchus keta (chum salmon), 1480 nucleotides. RefSeq lists it as uncharacterized. The record is from RefSeq and is a predicted model, not a curated record. Lineage: Eukaryota; Metazoa; Chordata; Actinopteri; Salmoniformes; Salmonidae. The transcript has 3 exons.